GAGCUUGCUUCUCUGGAUGAGUUGCGAACGGGUGAGUAACGCGUAGGUAACCUGCCUGGUAGCGGGGGAUAACUAUUGGAAACGAUAGCUAAUACCGCAUAAUAGUAGAUGUUGCAUGACAUUUGCUUAAAAGGUGCAAUUGCAUCACUACCAGAUGGACCUGCGUUGUAUUAGCUAGUUGGUGGGGUAACGGCUCACCAAGGCGACGAUACAUAGCCGACCUGAGAGGGUGAUCGGCCACACUGGGACUGAGACACGGCCCAGACUCCUACGGGAGGCAGCAGUAGGGAAUCUUCGGCAAUGGACGGAAGUCUGACCGAGCAACGCCGCGUGAGUGAAGAAGGUUUUCGGAUCGUAAAGCUCUGUUGUAAGAGAAGAACGAGUGUGAGAGUGGAAAGUUCACACUGUGACGGUAUCUUACCAGAAAGGGACGGCUAACUACGUGCCAGCAGCCGCGGUAAUACGUAGGUCCCGAGCGUUGUCCGGAUUUAUUGGGCGUAAAGCGAGCGCAGGCGGUUAGAUAAGUCUGAAGUUAAAGGCUGUGGCUUAACCAUAGUACGCUUUGGAAACUGUUUAACUUGAGUGCAAGAGGGGAGAGUGGAAUUCCAUGUGUAGCGGUGAAAUGCGUAGAUAUAUGGAGGAACACCGGUGGCGAAAGCG
This 660-nucleotide ribosomal RNA is filed under the name uncultured Bacilli bacterium. RNAcentral's name for it is "bacterial SSU rRNA". It matches the Rfam family "Bacterial small subunit ribosomal RNA", at positions 76 to 723 of the family's 1533-position model. The record is from RNAcentral. Lineage: Bacteria; Bacillati; Bacillota; Bacilli.